UACGGAGGGGACUAGCGUUGUUCGGAAUUACUGGGCGUAAAGCGCACGUAGGCGGAUUUGUAAGUCAGGGGUGAAAUCCCGGGGCUCAACCCCGGAACUGCCUUUGAUACUGGCAUUCUCGAGUCCGGAAGAGGUGAGUGGAAUUCCGAGUGUAGAGGUGAAAUUCGUAGAUAUUCGGAGGAACACCAGUGGCGAAGGCGGCUCACUGGUCCGGUACCGACGCUGAGGAGCGAAAGCCAGGGGAGCAAACGGG
RNAcentral lists this ribosomal RNA (253 nucleotides) under uncultured bacterium. RNAcentral describes it as "partial 16S ribosomal RNA". It matches the Rfam family "Bacterial small subunit ribosomal RNA", at positions 524 to 776 of the family's 1533-position model. The record is from RNAcentral.